AACGAACGCUGGCGGCAUGCCUAACACAUGCAAGUCGAACGACACCUUCGGGUCUAGUGGCUCACGGGUGCGUCAAGCGUGGGAACCUGCCCUUAGGUUCCGAAUAACUCCCCGAAAGGGGUGCUAAUACAGGAUAAUUUCUUCGGACCAAACAUAUGUCGCGUUUGGGUGGGCACGCGUUGGUUGAGCUUGUUGGUAGGGUAAAAGCCUACCAAGGCGUCGAUACAUAGCUGGUCUGAGAGGCUGAGCAGCGACACUGGGAGUGAGACGCGGCCCAGAAUACUGCGCGAGGCAGGAGUGGGGAAUAUUGGACAACGGGCGAAAGGCUGAUGCAGUAAUGCUGGGUGAGUGAUGAAGGCCGGAGGGUUGUAAAGCUCGUUUAUCCGGGAUGAUAAUGACGGUACCGGGAGAAUAAGCACCGGCUAACUCCGUG
RNAcentral lists this ribosomal RNA (433 nucleotides) under uncultured bacterium. Its description in RNAcentral is "partial 16S ribosomal RNA". It matches the Rfam family "Bacterial small subunit ribosomal RNA", at positions 29 to 507 of the family's 1533-position model. The record is from RNAcentral.